UACGGGGGGGGCAAGCGUUGUUCGGAAUUACUGGGCGUAAAGCGCACGUAGGCGGCUUUGUAAGUUAGAGGUGAAAGCCCGGGGCUCAACUCCGGAAUUGCCUUUAAGACUGCAUCGCUAGAAUCAUGGAGAGGUGAGUGGAAUUCCGAGUGUAGAGGUGAAAUUCGUAGAUAUUCGGAAGAACACCAGUGGCGAAGGCGACUCACUGGACAUGUAUUGACGCUGAGGUGCGAAAGCGUGGGGAGCAAACAGG
This 253-nucleotide ribosomal RNA is filed under the name uncultured bacterium. Its description in RNAcentral is "partial 16S ribosomal RNA". It matches the Rfam family "Bacterial small subunit ribosomal RNA", at positions 524 to 776 of the family's 1533-position model. The record is from RNAcentral.